This is a long non-coding RNA of Rosa rugosa (rugosa rose), 255 nucleotides long. RefSeq lists it as uncharacterized. NCBI's taxonomy places the organism in Eukaryota, Viridiplantae, Streptophyta, Magnoliopsida, Rosales, Rosaceae. The transcript is spliced from 4 exons. The record is from RefSeq and is a predicted model, not a curated record.
GCAAAACAAAUUCUCUUGGAGAUAGCUUGGACUUCAACUUCAACUUCAACUGUUAUUUGGCGAAGAAGUUCUUGUGCCGGCCACACCUACCUAUUAUUUUGGCAGGACUUUAGCUUGCAUGGAAGCCUCGGAUGACCGUCUCUCUGAUCAUUUUCUCACCUAUUCCACCUUUGAAUAUGAAGGGUAACUGUGUUCAACAAAUGAAAUUUAGUUUCAAUGUAGAGAGUUGAGCAAUGCCAUAUAUCUUGAGAAGGC